RNAcentral lists this ribosomal RNA (492 nucleotides) under uncultured bacterium. RNAcentral's name for it is "partial 16S ribosomal RNA". It matches the Rfam family "Bacterial small subunit ribosomal RNA", at positions 29 to 507 of the family's 1533-position model. The record is from RNAcentral.
AGUGAACGCUGGCGGUAGGCCUAACACAUGCAAGUCGAACGGCAGCACAGUAAGAGCUUGCUCUUACGGGUGGCGAGUGGCGGACGGGUGAGGAAUACAUCGGAAUCUACUUUUUCGUGGGGGAUAACGUAGGGAAACUUACGCUAAUACCGCAUACGACCUACGGGUGAAAGCAGGGGAUCUUCGGACCUUGCGCGAUUGAAUGAGCCGAUGUCGGAUUAGCUAGUUGGCGGGGUAAAGGCCCACCAAGGCGACGAUCCGUAGCUGGUCUGAGAGGAUGAUCAGCCACACUGGAACUGAGACACGGUCCAGACUCCUACGGGAGGCAGCAGUGGGGAAUAUUAGACAAUGGGCGCAAGCCUGAUCCAGCCAUACCGCGUGGGUGAAGAAGGUCUUCGGGUUGUAAAGCCCUUUUGUUGGGAAAGAAAAGCAGCAGGUUAAUACCCCGCUGUUCUGACGGUACCCAAAGAAUAAGCACCGGCUAACUUCGUG